CAGCCGCCACGGUAAUACGAAGGGGGCUAGCGUUGCUCGGAAUCACUGGGCGUAAAGGGUGCGUAGGCGGGUCUUUAAGUCAGGGGUGAAAUCCUGGAGCUCAACUCCAGAACUGCCUUUGAUACUGAAGAUCUUGAGUUCGGGAGAGGUGAGUGGAACUGCGAGUGUAGAGGUGAAAUUCGUAGAUAUUCGCAAGAACACCAGUGACGAAGGCGGCUCACUGGCCCGAUACUGGCGCUGAGGCACGAAAGCGUGGGGAGCAAACAGGAUUAGAUACCCCCGUAGUCCCUGUCUCUUAUAC
This 301-nucleotide ribosomal RNA is filed under the name uncultured bacterium. RNAcentral describes it as "partial 16S ribosomal RNA". It matches the Rfam family "Bacterial small subunit ribosomal RNA", at positions 509 to 807 of the family's 1533-position model. The record is from RNAcentral.